GGUGCUCGAGUGGCGAACGGGUGAGUAACACGUGAGUAACCUGCCCUUGACUUUGGGAUAACUUCAGGAAACUGGGGCUAAUACCGGAUAGGAGCUCCUGCUGCAUGGUGGGGGUUGGAAAGUUUCGGCGGUUGGGGAUGGACUCGCGGCUUAUCAGCUUGUUGGUGGGGUAGUGGCUUACCAAGGCUUUGACGGGUAGCCGGCCUGAGAGGGUGACCGGCCACAUUGGGACUGAGAUACGACCCAG
RNAcentral lists this ribosomal RNA (247 nucleotides) under uncultured Actinomycetales bacterium. Its description in RNAcentral is "partial 16S ribosomal RNA". It matches the Rfam family "Bacterial small subunit ribosomal RNA", at positions 86 to 334 of the family's 1533-position model. The record is from RNAcentral. Lineage: Bacteria; Bacillati; Actinomycetota; Actinomycetes; Actinomycetales.